This is a long non-coding RNA of Cyprinus carpio carpio, 722 nucleotides long. The record is from Ensembl. Lineage: Eukaryota; Metazoa; Chordata; Actinopteri; Cypriniformes; Cyprinidae.
CAACCUGGUGUUCAGACAUGUUGGCAUCCCCAACGAUGUUGUAUCUGAUUGUGGACCAGAAUUUAUAUUGCGUGUUUGGAAGGCAUUCUUCUCCCUCAUAGGUGUGAUCGUGAGUCUUACAUCCAGAUACCAUCCUCAAUCUAACUGGCAGAUGGAGAGAAAAAUCCAGGAGAUCAGCUGCUUCCUGAGAACCUUCUGCCAAAGCCACCAGGACUCCUGGAGCCAGUUUCUCACCUGGGCUGAGCGAGACAUCAGAUGUUCCAUCUGUCACCCACUGGUUCCAGGAGAGCGAGAGGGUCUGGGACGAAGCUCAUCAUCACCUGCAGAGGGCUGUGUGCAGAGCCUGGUAUCAGUGACAAACCCCCAGUACCUCAGAUUGUGGACACAGAACCCAUCUACACAGUAAAGGAGAUGCUGGACUCUCGACGUCGUGGAGGCCACCUCAAAAACCUCGUAGACUGGGAGGGGUAUUGACCAGAGGAGCAAUGCUGGAUCCCAUGUGACGACAUCCUGGAUCCCACUCUCCUCAGAGAAUUUCACCAGCAACAUCCACAGCGCCUGGCACCUAGGGACAGAGGGUGGCCACCAUGACGUCGAGGGGGGUACUGUCACGGAAACACCAGGUUCUCUUACCACCAAGCAACGAUCCCAAUCACCUGAAUUCUGAACACCUGCACUCAAUCAGCACACCCUCAUCAGCCCCAGUAUAUAAGCACACACCU